GGCCGCCCCGGGCGGGGCGGGGGCACGGGGGGAACGCGAAGAACCUUACCAGGUCUUGACAUACUAUGCAAAUCUAAGAGAUUAGACGUUCCCUUCGGGGACAUGGAUACAGGUGGUGCAUGGUUGUCGUCAGCUCGUGUCGUGAGAUGUUGGGUUAAGUCCCGCAACGAGCGCAACCCUUAUUAUCAGUUGCCAGCAUUAAGUUGGGCACUCUGGUGAGACUGCCGGUGACAAACCGGAGGAAGGUGGGGAUGACGUCAAAUCAUCAUGCCCCUUAUGACCUGGGCUACACACGUGCUACAAUGGAUGGUACAACGAGUUGCGAACUCGCGAGAGUAAGCUAAUCUCUUAAAGCCAUUCUCAGUUCGGAUUGUAGGCUGCAACUCGCCUACAUGAAGUCGGAAUCGCUAGUAAUCGCGGAUCAGCAUC
This 429-nucleotide ribosomal RNA is filed under the name Lactiplantibacillus plantarum. Its description in RNAcentral is "bacterial SSU rRNA". It matches the Rfam family "Bacterial small subunit ribosomal RNA", at positions 929 to 1356 of the family's 1533-position model. The record is from RNAcentral. Lineage: Bacteria; Bacillati; Bacillota; Bacilli; Lactobacillales; Lactobacillaceae.